Molecule: ribosomal RNA, 1497 nt
Filed under: uncultured prokaryote
Description: partial 16S ribosomal RNA
Rfam family: Bacterial small subunit ribosomal RNA
Source: RNAcentral
AGAGUUUGAUCAUGGCUCAGAUUGAACGCUGGCGGCAGGCCUUACACAUGCAAGUCGAGCGGAAACGAUGGUAGCUUGCUACCAGGCGUCGAGCGGCGGACGGGUGAGUAACACGUGGGAAUCUACCAUACAGUGGGGGAUAGCCCGGGGAAACCCGGAUUAAUACCGCAUACCUACGGGGGAAAGCAGGGGAUCUUUCGGGACCUUGCACUAUUUGAUGAGCCCGCGUCAGAUUAGCUAGUUGGUGGGGUAAUGGCCUACCAAGGCGACGAUCUGUAGCUGGUCUGAGAGGAUGAUCAGCCACACUGGGACUGAGACACGGCCCAGACUCCUACGGGAGGCAGCAGUGGGGAAUAUUGGACAAUGGGGGCAACCCUGAUCCAGCCAUGCCGCGUGUGUGAAGAAGGCCUUAGGGUUGUAAAGCACUUUCAGUAGGAGGAAAAGUUAGUCGUUAAUAACGGCUAACCCUGACGUUACCUACAGAAGAAGCACCGGCAAACUCCGUGCCAGCAGCCGCGGUAAUACGGAGGGUGCGAGCGUUAAUCGGAAUUACUGGGCGUAAAGCGCGCGUAGGCGGCCUGAUAAGUUGGAUGUGAAAGCCCUGGGCUCAACCUAGGAACUGCAUUCAAAACUGUCAGGCUAGAGUAUGGUAGAGGAUAGUGGAAUUUCCGGUGUAGCGGUGAAAUGCGUAGAGAUCGGAAGGAACAUCAGUGGCGAAGGCGGCUAUCUGACCAAUACUGACGCUGAGGUGCGAAAGCGUGGGGAGCAAACAGGAUUAGAUCCCCUGGUAGUCCACGCAGUAGACGAUGUCAACUAGCCGUUGGGGAGCUUGCCUCCUUAGUGGCGCAGCUAACGCAAUAAGUAGACCGCCUGGGGAGUACGGCCGCAAGGUUAAAACUCAAAUGAAUUGACGGGGGCCCGCACAAGCGGUGGAGCAUGUGGUUUAAUUCGAUGCAACGCGAAGAACCUUACCUGGUCUUGACAUCCUCCAACUUACUAGAGAUAGUUUGGUGCCUUCGGGAACGUAGUGACAGGUGCUGCAUGGCUGUCGUCAGCUCGUGUUGUGAAAUGUUGGGUUAAGUCCCGUAACGAGCGCAACCCUUAUCCUUAUUUGCCAGCACGUAAUGGUGGGAACUCUAAGGAGACUGCCGGUGACAAACCGGAGGAAGGUGGGGACGACGUCAAGUCAUCAUGGCCCUUACGAGUAGGGCUACACACGUGCUACAAUGGCCGGUACAGAGGGCUGCAACCUGCGAAGGUAAGCUAAUCUCACAAAACCGGUCGUAGUCCGGAUCGGAGUCUGCAACUCGACUCCGUGAAGUCGGAAUCGCUAGUAAUCGUGGAUCAGAAUGCCACGGUGAAUACGUUCCCGGGCCUUGUACACACCGCCCGUCACACCAUGGGAGUGGAUUGCGCCAGAAGUAGGUUGCCUAACCUUCGGGAGGGCGCUUACCACGGUGUGCUUCAUGACUGGGGUGAAGUCGGUGCAAGGUAACC